RNAcentral lists this long non-coding RNA (616 nucleotides) under Homo sapiens (human). Its description in RNAcentral is "non-protein coding lnc-MYLK4-7:1". Lineage: Eukaryota; Metazoa; Chordata; Mammalia; Primates; Hominidae. The record is from RNAcentral.
AAAUGAAAUUGAUAGACCAUUAGCAAGAUUAACCAAGAAAAGAAGAGAGAAAAUCCAAAUAACCUCACUAAGUCCUAGCUUAAAUCAGGAGGAAUUGGAUACCCUGAACAGACCAAUAACAAGCAGCAAGAUUGAAAUGGUAAUUUUAAAAUUACCAACAAAAAAAAGUCCAGGACCAGAAGGAUUCACAGCAGAAUUCUACCAGACAUUCAAAGAAGAAUUGGUACCAAUCCUUUUGACACUAUUCCACAAGAUAGAGAAAGAAGGAACCCUCCCUAAUUCAUUCUAUGAAGCUCCCAUCAUCCUAAUACCAAAACCAGGAAAUGACAUAACCAGAAAAGUCGCUUUAUCAUUAAAACCCUCAGGAAAACCGGCAUACAAGGGACAUACCUUAACAUAAUAAAAGCCAUCUAUGACAAACCCAUAGCCAACAUAAUACUGAAUGGGGAAAAGUUCAAAGCAUUCCCUCUGAGAACGGGAACAAGACUAGGAUGCCUACUCUCACCACUUGUCUUCAAUAUAGUACUGAAAGUCCUAGUCAAAGCAAUCAGACAAGAGAAAGAAAUAAAGGGUGUCCAACUCGGUAAAGAGGAAGUCAAACUGUCACUGUUUGCUG